CGCCCAUCAGCUAGCCCCACCUAUAAAAACAACAUACCACCAUAAAUAACCCCAAAACCACGCACUCCCCUAAAACAAAUCAUUUUCCAUCACCUAAGUAUGGGCGACAGAAAAGGACAUCCAUGGAGCUAUAGAAAAAGUACCGUAAGGGAACGCUGAAAUAGAGAUGAAACAGCCCAGUAAAGCCCUAAAAAGCAGAGAUUAAACCUCGUACCUUUUGCAUCAUGACUUAGCUAGCACCCCCAAGCAAAGAGCAUCUUUAGUUUGGCACCCCGAAACUAGUGUGAGCUACUCCAAGACAGCCUAUUCAAUAGGGCAAACCCGUCUCUGUGGCAAAAGAGUGGGAAGAGCUUUGAGUAGAGGUGACAGACCUACCGAACCUAGUUAUAGCUGGUUGCCUGAGAACUGGAUAGAAGUUCAGCCUCCCGGCUUCUCCAUUCAUAUACUAUUCCAAUAUGACUGCCCCCAGAUCUAAAAGAAACCCGCGAGAGUUAUUCUAAGGAGGUACAGCUCCUUUGAACCAAAAUACAAUUUUAUAAGGAGGGUAAAGAUCAUAAUCUUAACCAAGGCAGAAUGUCCUAGUGGGCCUAAAAGCAGCCACCCCUUUCAGAAAGCGUUAAAGCUCAGACAUACCUCUCCGCCCUAUAUCCCGAUAAUCUAAUCUUAACCCCCUAGCCCUAUCAGGCCGUUCCAUGCAAACAUGGAAGCGAUAAUGCUAACAUGAGUAACAAGAGGAUUUAUUUUAUCUGCGCUCCUCUCCCAGCACACGUGUACAUCGAAACGGACCAACCACCGAAACUUAACGGCCCCAAACAAAGAGGGAAUUGAAAGACAAACAUGAUAUACUAGAAAAUCAUCCAGCACGCAACCGUUAACCCCACACUGGUGUGCCAUUAAAGGAAAGACUAAAAGAAAAAGAAGGAACUCGGCAAACACAAGCCUCGCCUGUUUACCAAAAACAUCGCCUCUUGUACAACCACAUUAAAACAAAUAAGAGGUCCCGCCUGCCCAGUGACAACUGGUUCAACGGCCGCGGUAUUUUGACCGUGCAAAGGUAGCGUAAUCACUUGUCUUUUAAAUGAAGACCUGUAUGAAUGGCAUCACGAGGGCUUAGCUGUCUCCUUUUUCUAAGUCAGUGAAAUUGAUCUCCCCGUGCAGAAGCGGGGAUAAAAACAUAAGACGAGAAGACCCUAUGGAGCUUUAGACACCAGAAUAGCACAUGUUAAGACACCCUGAAUAAAGAACUGAACUUAAUGGCCCCCCUAUUCCAAUGUCUUCGGUUGGGGCGACCAUGAGGAACAAAAACCCCUCAUGUGGAAUGGGAGUACCACAACCCACACACUAUUUUUCCUAUACUCCUACAACCAAGAGCUACAACUCAAACUGACAGAAAUUCUGACCAACAAUGAUCCGGCAAUGCUGAUCAACGGACCAAGUUACCCUAGGGAUAACAGCGCAAUCCCCUUUUAGAGCCCAUAUCGACAAGGGGGUUUACGACCUCGAUGUUGGAUCAGGACAUCCUAAUGGUGCAGCCGCUAUUAAGGGUUCGUUUGUUCAACGAUUAAAGUCCUACGUGAUCUGAGUUCAGACCGGAGCAAUCCAGGUCAGUUUCUAUCUAUGCCCAUAAUUCUUUUUUAGUACGAAAGGACCGAAAAGAAAAGGCCCAUGCUAUAAGUAUGCCUUAUCCCUACCUAAUGAAAUCAACUAAACUAGGUAAAGGAACAUGCCCUCAACCCCGUCAAAGAGAAUGACAU
RNAcentral lists this ribosomal RNA (1754 nucleotides) under Lates calcarifer (barramundi perch). Its description in RNAcentral is "16S ribosomal RNA". It matches the Rfam family "Bacterial large subunit ribosomal RNA". Lineage: Eukaryota; Metazoa; Chordata; Actinopteri; Centropomidae. The record is from RNAcentral.